CCCUUAGAUGUUCUGGGCUGCACGCGUGCUACACUGAUAUUGCCAAUAUGUCAUUCUUAUCCGAAAUGGAUUGGGUAAUCAAGUAAUGAAAUUUCAUGCUUGGAAUCGGUAAUUGCAAUUUUAUCGUGAACGAGGAAUUCCUAGUAAGCACUAGUCAUCAGCUAAUGUUGAUUAUGUCCCUGCCCUUUGUACACACCGCCCGUCGCUACUACUGAUUGGGUGUUCAAGGGAGAUGCUUAGACCCUUGUUGCAUGGUUCAUUAUUGUGCUCCGAAAGGAAAAAGUUUCAAGCUUGAGUGUCUAGAGGAAGUAAAAGUCGUAACA
This 323-nucleotide ribosomal RNA is filed under the name uncultured eukaryote. RNAcentral describes it as "partial 18S ribosomal RNA". It matches the Rfam family "Eukaryotic small subunit ribosomal RNA", at positions 1470 to 1796 of the family's 1831-position model. The record is from RNAcentral.